Homo sapiens (human) is the source of this 258-nucleotide long non-coding RNA. RefSeq lists it as uncharacterized. Lineage: Eukaryota; Metazoa; Chordata; Mammalia; Primates; Hominidae. The record is from RefSeq and is a predicted model, not a curated record. The transcript has 2 exons.
AAUGUGCUAAGAGGAUAUGAGAUUGAAGCUGCUGGCACCCAGCUCUCCCUGCCACAGGGCAGAGAAUGGGGCCAAGGCAUAAAGAGAAGCAGAGCUCUGAGAAAUGGAAUGAGAGAGACCUGAUGACAUUGUUUGAGCCCCUGAGAUGAGCCUUGCCUGAGAUGGCAAAAUCUUAAGAAGUCAUAUCCAGACCUGAGCAAGAAUUGCCCAUCACCAAGGGACCCUGGACUGAGGACUCAAUAAAGCAACUGGAUGUAA